RNAcentral lists this ribosomal RNA (509 nucleotides) under Vibrio pomeroyi. RNAcentral's name for it is "bacterial SSU rRNA". It matches the Rfam family "Bacterial small subunit ribosomal RNA", at positions 132 to 636 of the family's 1533-position model. Lineage: Bacteria; Pseudomonadati; Pseudomonadota; Gammaproteobacteria; Vibrionales; Vibrionaceae. The record is from RNAcentral.
UGAUGUGGGGGAUAACCAUUGGAAACGAUGGCUAAUACCGCAUAAUGCCUACGGGCCAAAGAGGGGGACCUUCGGGCCUCUCGCGUCAAGAUAUGCCUAGGUGGGAUUAGCUAGUUGGUGAGGUAAUGGCUCACCAAGGCGACGAUCCCUAGCUGGUCUGAGAGGAUGAUCAGCCACACUGGAACUGAGACACGGUCCAGACUCCUACGGGAGGCAGCAGUGGGGAAUAUUGCACAAUGGGCGAAAGCCUGAUGCAGCCAUGCCGCGUGUAUGAAGAAGGCCUUCGGGUUGUAAAGUACUUUCAGUUGUGAGGAAGGGGGUGUCGUUAAUAGCGGCAUCUCUUGACGUUAGCAACAGAAGAAGCACCGGCUAACUCCGUGCCAGCAGCCGCGGUAAUACGGAGGGUGCGAGCGUUAAUCGGAAUUACUGGGCGUAAAGCGCAUGCAGGUGGUUCAUUAAGUCAGAUGUGAAAGCCCGGGGCUCAACCUCGGAACUGCAUUUGAAACUGG